This 497-nucleotide ribosomal RNA is filed under the name uncultured bacterium. RNAcentral describes it as "partial 16S ribosomal RNA". It matches the Rfam family "Bacterial small subunit ribosomal RNA", at positions 28 to 507 of the family's 1533-position model. The record is from RNAcentral.
GAUGAACGCUGGCGGCGUGCCUAAUACAUGCAAGUCGAGCGAACAGACGAGGAGCUUGCUCCUCUGACGUUAGCGGCGGACGGGUGAGUAACACGUGGAUAACCUACCUAUAAGACUGGGAUAACUUCGGGAAACCGGAGCUAAUACCGGAUAAUAUGUUGAACCGCAUGGUUCAAUAGUGAAAGACGGUUUUGCUGUCACUUAUAGAUGGAUCCGCGCCGCAUUAGCUAGUUGGUAAGGUAACGGCUUACCAAGGCAAUGAUGCGUAGCCGACCUGAGAGGGUGAUCGGCCACACUGGAACUGAGACACGGUCCAGACUCCUACGGGAGGCAGCAGUAGGGAAUCUUCCGCAAUGGGCGAAAGCCUGACGGAGCAACGCCGCGUGAGUGAUGAAGGUCUUCGGAUCGUAAAACUCUGUUAUUAGGGAAGAACAAAUGUGUAAGUAACUAUGCACGUCUUGACGGUACCUAAUCAGAAAGCCACGGCUAACUACGUG